UACGAAGGGGGCUAGCGUUGCUCGGAAUCACUGGGCGUAAAGCGCACGUAGGCGGAUUGUUAAGUCAGGGGUGAAAUCCUGGAGCUCAACUCCAGAACUGCCUUUGAUACUGGCGAUCUUGAGUCCGGGAGAGGUGAGUGGAACUGCGAGUGUAGAGGUGAAAUUCGUAGAUAUUCGCAAGAACACCAGUGGCGAAGGCGGCUCACUGGCCCGGUACUGACGCUGAGGCGCGAAAGCCAGGGGAGCAAACGGG
RNAcentral lists this ribosomal RNA (253 nucleotides) under uncultured bacterium. RNAcentral describes it as "partial 16S ribosomal RNA". It matches the Rfam family "Bacterial small subunit ribosomal RNA", at positions 524 to 776 of the family's 1533-position model. The record is from RNAcentral.